UACGAAGGGGGCUAGCGUUGCUCGGAAUUACUGGGCGUAAAGGGCGCGUAGGCGGUUCUAUAAGUCAGGGGUGAAAUCCCGAGGCUCAACCUCGGAACUGCCUUUGAUACUGGGGAUCUCGAGUCCGGGAGAGGUGAGUGGAACUGCGAGUGUAGAGGUGAAAUUCGUAGAUAUUCGCAAGAACACCAGUGGCGAAGGCGGCUCACUGGCCCGAUACUGACGCUGAGGUGCGAAAGCGUGGGGAGCAAACAGG
RNAcentral lists this ribosomal RNA (253 nucleotides) under uncultured bacterium. RNAcentral describes it as "partial 16S ribosomal RNA". It matches the Rfam family "Bacterial small subunit ribosomal RNA", at positions 524 to 776 of the family's 1533-position model. The record is from RNAcentral.